AGACACACAGGGUGUCGCAGGAUGAGCAAGGGGAGGCCUGGCUGGAGGGACCAAGGUGGGUCCUCCAAGGAAGUGGCAUUUCCUCUGAGCUUCCCGGGGGAGCAGAGGUUUGCCAGGUACGUGGGAGGAGCUUCCCAGAGGAAGGGCCAGCACCUGCAAAGGCCCUGGAGUGGGAGAAACCUGGAGGAAGUCGAAAGAAGCAGCUCGGCGGGGGCGGGAAUACCCCACCCACGGCCCCGGCGUCUUGCCGGGCGCUCAGCCUCCCUCUGGCCUCUGUGGAGGCCUCCCUGCAUCGCCCUCCUGGAACGUCAGCCUCUCCAGAGCGGGAACUUCCGUUCCAUCUUGUUCAAGCUGCGCCCCGGAGCCUGGAACAGCCAGCACCUGGCGCUCAGCAGGUGCUCCAUCCCAUGGAAUCUACCAGAAACUGGGGUUCCCCAAAGCCUCUGCCUGCCUUCUGCAGCUGAGCUGCUUCAGCCUCUGUGGGACACCCAUUUGAAGGAACCUGUCCAAAUCCAUGUAAGAGAUCUCCUAUUUUUUCCCUCCCACCUGAGGCUCUUCCUCCUCACCAGACACCUGUUCCAAGGAAGCUCCUGCAACUAGGUAAGAUGAAU
RNAcentral lists this long non-coding RNA (611 nucleotides) under Sus scrofa (pig). RNAcentral describes it as "lncRNA (ENSSSCG00040056161.1)". Lineage: Eukaryota; Metazoa; Chordata; Mammalia; Artiodactyla; Suidae. The record is from RNAcentral.